This 681-nucleotide ribosomal RNA is filed under the name Brachybacterium sp. RNAcentral describes it as "bacterial SSU rRNA". It matches the Rfam family "Bacterial small subunit ribosomal RNA", at positions 801 to 1485 of the family's 1533-position model. Lineage: Bacteria; Bacillati; Actinomycetota; Actinomycetes; Micrococcales; Dermabacteraceae. The record is from RNAcentral.
CCAGUUUGGGGGCUAGGUGUGGGGGACAUUCCACGUUUUCCGCGCCGUAGCUAACGCAUUAAGUGCCCCGCCUGGGGAGUACGGCCGCAAGGCUAAAACUCAAAGGAAUUGACGGGGGCCCGCACAAGCGGCGGAGCAUGCUGAUUAAUUCGAUGCAACGCGAAGAACCUUACCAAGGCUUGACAUGCACUGGACGGCUGCAGAGAUGUGGCUUUCUUUGGACUGGUGCACAGGUGGUGCAUGGUUGUCGUCAGCUCGUGUCGUGAGAUGUUGGGUUAAGUCCCGCAACGAGCGCAACCCUCGUUCUAUGUUGCCAGCACGUGAUGGUGGGGACUCAUAGGAGACUGCCGGGGUCAACUCGGAGGAAGGUGGGGACGACGUCAAAUCAUCAUGCCCCUUAUGUCUUGGGCUUCAAGCAUGCUACAAUGGUCGGUACAAUGGGUUGCGAAACUGUGAGGUGGAGCGAAUCCCAAAAAGCCGGCCUCAGUUCGGAUUGGGGUCUGCAACUCGACCCCAUGAAGUCGGAGUCGCUAGUAAUCGCAGAUCAGCAACGCUGCGGUGAAUACGUUCCCGGGCCUUGUACACACCGCCCGUCAAGUCACGAAAGUCGGUAACACCCGAAGCCAGUGGCCCAUCCUCGUGAGGGAGCUGUCGAAGGUGGGAUCGGUGAUUGGGACUAAG